AGGACGAACGCUGGCGGCGUGCUUAACACAUGCAAGUCGAGCGGUAAGGCUCCUUCGGGAGUACACAGGCGGCGAACGGGUGAGUAACACGUGAGCAAUCUGCCCUUCACAUCGGAAUAAGCCCGGGAAACUGGGUCUAAUACCGGAUACGACUCCACGAGGCAUCUCUUGGAGUGGAAAGUUCUGGCGGUGAAGGAUGAGCUCGCGGCCUAUCAGCUAGUUGGUGGGGCAAUGGCCUACCAAGGCAACGACGGGUAGCCGGCCUGAGAGGGUGACCGGCCACACUGGGACUGAGACACGGCCCAGACUCCUACGGGAGGCAGCAGUGGGGAAUAUUGGACAAUGGGCGAAAGCCUGAUCCAGCAACGCCGCGUGAGGGAUGACGGCCUUCGGGUUGUAAACCUCUUUCUAGCAGGGACGAAGCGAAGUGACGGUACCUGCAGAAGAAGCACCGGCCAACUACGUGCCAGCAGCCGC
This 477-nucleotide ribosomal RNA is filed under the name uncultured bacterium. Its description in RNAcentral is "SSU rRNA". It matches the Rfam family "Bacterial small subunit ribosomal RNA", at positions 26 to 518 of the family's 1533-position model. The record is from RNAcentral.